This 74-nucleotide transfer RNA is filed under the name Candidatus Altimarinota bacterium. RNAcentral describes it as "tRNA-Trp". It matches the Rfam family "tRNA". Rfam says of the family: Transfer RNA (tRNA) molecules are approximately 80 nucleotides in length. Their secondary structure includes four short double-helical elements and three loops (D, anti-codon, and T loops). The record is from RNAcentral. Lineage: Bacteria; Candidatus Altimarinota.
AGGCGCGUCGUAUAAUGGCAGUACAGGGGUCUCCAAAGCCCUUAGUGUGGGUUCGAUUCCUACCGCGCCUGCCA